GCCCUCAUAGCUCAGCCAGGUCCAGAGCGCCGCCCUGUCAAGGCGGAGGUCGCCGGUUCAAAUCCGGUUGGGGGCG
This 76-nucleotide transfer RNA is filed under the name Acidimicrobiaceae bacterium. RNAcentral's name for it is "tRNA-Asp". It matches the Rfam family "tRNA". Rfam says of the family: Transfer RNA (tRNA) molecules are approximately 80 nucleotides in length. Their secondary structure includes four short double-helical elements and three loops (D, anti-codon, and T loops). Further hydrogen bonds mediate the characteristic L-shaped molecular structure. tRNAs have two regions of fundamental functional importance: the anti-codon, which is responsible for specific mRNA codon recognition, and the 3' end, to which the tRNAs corresponding amino acid is attached (by aminoacyl-tRNA synthetases). tRNAs cope with the degeneracy of the genetic code in two manners: having more than one tRNA (with a specific anti-codon) for a particular amino acid; and 'wobble' base-pairing, i.e. permitting non-standard base-pairing at the 3rd anti-codon position. Lineage: Bacteria; Bacillati; Actinomycetota; Acidimicrobiia; Acidimicrobiales; Acidimicrobiaceae. The record is from RNAcentral.